This 459-nucleotide ribosomal RNA is filed under the name uncultured bacterium. Its description in RNAcentral is "partial 16S ribosomal RNA". It matches the Rfam family "Bacterial small subunit ribosomal RNA", at positions 338 to 795 of the family's 1533-position model. The record is from RNAcentral.
CCUACGGGUGGCAGCAGUGAGGAAUAUUGGUCAAUGGCCGAGAGGCUGAACCAGCCAAGUCGCGUGAGGGAAGACGGCCCUACGGGUUGUAAACUUCUUUUGUCGGGGAGUAAAGCGAACCACGUGUGGUUCAUUGAGAGUACCCGAUGAAAAAGCAUCGGCUAACUCCGUGCCAGCAGCCGCGGUAAUACGGUGGAUGCGGGCGUUAUCCGGUUUUAUUGGGUUUAAGGGGUGCGCAGGCGGAGGUGCACGUCAGCGGUGAAAUUGCGGGGCUCAACCCCGUACUGCCGUUGAAACUGGAUGCCUUGAGUGCGCGGGAAGUAGGCGGAAUGCGUGGUGUAGCGGUGAAAUGCAUAGAUAUCACGCAGAACUCCGAUUGCGAAGGCAGCAUACCGGCGCGCAACUGACGCUGAUGCACGAAAGCGUGGGUAUCGAACAGGAUUAGAUACCCGAGUAGUC